UACAGAGGUCCCAAGCGUUGUUCGGAUUCACUGGGCGUAAAGGGUGCGUAGGCGGUCGGGUAAGUCUGAUGUGAAAUCUCACAGCUUAACUGUGAAACUGCAUUGGAUACUAUCCGGCUCGAGGAAUGGAGGGGAGACUGGAAUACUUGGUGUAGCAGUGAAAUGCGUAGAUAUCAAGUGGAACACCAGUGGCGAAGGCGAGUCGCUGGACAUUUCCUGACGCUGAGGCACGAAAGCCAGGGGAGCAAACGGG
Molecule: ribosomal RNA, 253 nt
Filed under: uncultured bacterium
Lineage: Bacteria
Description: partial 16S ribosomal RNA
Rfam family: Bacterial small subunit ribosomal RNA
Source: RNAcentral